RNAcentral lists this transfer RNA (74 nucleotides) under Mollicutes bacterium. RNAcentral's name for it is "tRNA-Cys". It matches the Rfam family "tRNA". Rfam says of the family: Transfer RNA (tRNA) molecules are approximately 80 nucleotides in length. Their secondary structure includes four short double-helical elements and three loops (D, anti-codon, and T loops). Lineage: Bacteria; Bacillati; Mycoplasmatota; Mollicutes. The record is from RNAcentral.
GGGGCUAUAGCCAAGUGGUAAGGCAAGGGACUGCAACUCCCUGAGCGCAGGUUCAAAUCCUGUUGGCCCCUCCA